This 447-nucleotide ribosomal RNA is filed under the name uncultured bacterium. RNAcentral's name for it is "bacterial SSU rRNA". It matches the Rfam family "Bacterial small subunit ribosomal RNA", at positions 355 to 825 of the family's 1533-position model. The record is from RNAcentral.
UCGGGAAUUUUGGGCAAUGGGCGAAAGCCUGACCCAGCAACGCCGCGUGAAGGAUGAAGUAUUUCGGUAUGUAAACUUCGUAAGAAUAGGAAGAAUAAAUGACGGUACUAUUUGUAAGGUCCGGCUAACUACGUGCCAGCAGCCGCGGUAAUACGUAGGGACCAAGCGUUGUUCGGAUUUACUGGGCGUAAAGGGCGCGUAGGCGGCUUGACAAGUCACUUGUGAAAUCUCUGGGCUUAACCCAGAACGGCCAAGUGAAACUGUCAUGCUAGAGUGCAGAAGGGGCAAUCGGAAUUCUUGGUGUAGCGGUGAAAUGCGUAGAUAUCAAGAGGAACACCUGAGGUGAAGACGGGUUGCUGGGCUGACACUGACGCUGAGGCGCGAAAGCCAGGGGAGCAAACAGGAUUAGAUACCCGGGUAGUCCCUGAGCGGGCUGGCAAGGCGCAU